CAGGUCAGAGUCAAUGAGUGACCCUCCAGGAUCUCACCUCGAUCACUCAGCUGCACCCUGGGGGCUUUCAGAGCAUCUGGAGGAGAAGAUGGAGGAGAAAGUCAGUCUGAGGAGAGGAGACCUCCACUGAAGUCCAACAAUCUGAAACAUGUCGAACUCGCUUGACUGAAUCCGGACAUCCAGUGGGAAAUGAAAGACAAAACAGCUGCCGGCCUGCAGCUCGUGUGACAUGACAGCCAAGCGGACACAUGAGAAUCUUCCACUUGGACGUCUACCACCUGCAUCUGCACAGCUGGAGGGAAGAGGAGCAAAAAGGUCCAGUGAACCUCUCUCUCUCAGCUCUUACCCAUCACUACACUUCCCCACGGAACCUGCAGUCGACUGAUUCAAGUCUCCUCACUGUCCUUGUCGCCAUCAGGUGAACUUUCAGGCGUGGAACUACAACCCGUGGAAAUUCGGCAUUCACCAACAUCGGCUAUUUUCAACUCGGCAAUGAAACAGCUCUUGUUUAUCUUUGGCACCUACUUUGGUUUUUCUCUGUUCUUGUCGUCAACUUGUUGUGAUUGACUUUC
Syngnathoides biaculeatus (alligator pipefish) is the source of this 572-nucleotide long non-coding RNA. RefSeq lists it as uncharacterized. Lineage: Eukaryota; Metazoa; Chordata; Actinopteri; Syngnathiformes; Syngnathidae. The record is from RefSeq and is a predicted model, not a curated record. The transcript is spliced from 3 exons.